UUCUCUCUUUGGUUAACACAUUCCUAGUUAUGCACUUUAUCUCAUUUUCAAAGAAGGCCUCUAUUUAUGAAGAGUCACAGCCAUUUUCUUCUGGAUGGAAAUGCUGCCCUCAAGCUGCCAUUGUAACCUGAAACAAGGAUGCUUCAUUGCUUCAGAAAAGACCCCAGGGACUCUUAUUCAUACACAUAUUUAUCUUCUUCGUGAUGUACACACAGAUUUCCAUUGUGAAGAAAAGCUGUGUGAUUCCAAAAGGCUGUGCCUUUCAGGAAAUGAACAUUUUUUCAGGAUUGAGAUUAAACUGCAGCAUUUGGGGGAAGAGAGGAGGAAUCUUACCAGAAAAGCACUUCGCUACCGAGAACUAUGUGAACCAGUGCCUGAGCGCAUAAUGGAGCUCUCCCCACUGCAAGGAUCUGUCCCCAGGACAUCAGCUGCAAGUUUGCAUGGCUAGCCCUCUCUCCUCCUCUAUUCUGAUGUAUGCUCAGAACAUUGCAAGUAUCUUCAAGUAGUCAUAUGAAAAUGAAAGACUUUAUUUUCACUUUGAUGCCGUAAAACAUUUAUCUCAAGUGUAUAUAUGGAAACAUAAUGAAGACUUUUUUUUUUCUUCAUUUGCAAUUAGGUAUUUGCUUUGGAGUUUUUAACACUUAACCCCAAACACACAUACAGCCACACUCAAGACAGAUCUCUGGUAAAAAAAACAAAACAACUGAGGCCUGAAUUUUCAGAUGUACAGAGCACCUGCAGUUCCUGUUGACAUCAACUGCCAGGCUCUCAGCACUACUGAAACUCUGAUCUUAAUUUAUAGAACACCAUAGGCAUAUUUAUUCUCUAAUGAGCAGUUAGCAUUUGGUGCACUUUAAAGUGAUAAAGGUGCAGAUAGAGGAAGGAGAAAAAAAGGUAGAGUUAAAUUAUCCAGAAAACUUAUUUGUUCUGUUGUUCUCUAUGCCUUAUCAAUCCUGUGUUUGACAUCAUUCAGCUUAGCUGAUACGUUUGAAGAUUAAGUACAAAUGGCACACAAAAUGUAUUUCUAACCAUCUCUUCCUCUCACAUAAAGAACCUUGUUUACCCUUAUGUAAGUACAGCCUGAAGAACAAGUCCAUAUGUUUAGUCAGUAAGGACAAUGAAGGCAAGAAGCCACAGGAAAAGCAGCUGUCCUGGCUAGCACUGGGAGCUGUACCUGGCCUGCAGCUAUGGAGACACACACACAGCUGAGUAGCUGGCUCCACCAGCGUGGCUCCUGCUGUCUGCAUUGGAAGCAGUUGCUGGCCAGCAGGCUACAAAGGAAGAGCAAUCGUACCCUCUCUAGGAAGAUUUCUCUGUGUUCACCCGUACUCCUUUUCUUAUUUUCCAACCCAUCAAUUAAAUUAUUCAUUUCUGAUAUACAUUGUGGAAUACUUUAUGACCACACAGAAUGACUUUUCACUUGCCAAAACAAUGCUGUUGUGUACAUUCAACAUUAACUCCACCAGCCAAUUCUCACCUUUCCUUUUCAAUCCUCCACUUGUAAUCAUUUGACUCUCACAUAAUAGUAAUAAUAAUAAUAAUAAUAAUAAUAAUAAUAAUAAUAAUAAUAAUAAUGUUGAACUACAGUGUUGCAUAAUAUUACUUUACUAAUGUUUAUUAACAAAAAGCAAUUAAGUCUAUUUCAGUCUAUUCUAUGUGAAAAGGGCAGUCUUGUGCUUUUCUAAGAGGGAAUGAGCCUGUCACACAGUCACUGUACAACAGCACUGGCUGUGCAAUUCUCUGAGGUUGUAGGUUUUCAGAAAUAAGGCAAGAAACAGAAAUAUUAGCACUUCUUCCACAAACAGCAUCAAAGGUGCCACUCAGGACUCUCAAGGUAAAAUUCAUUCUAGUUCUAAAGACAAAACAAUUUUAGAGGUAUUCUUGAAUAUUUUGGCAUUGUAGGAAAGACUUACAAGAAAUGGGUGCUACAUUUAUUUUUCUUGCAGUAGAGCAGUUUGAGAGAUGAGUCAACAAUUUCACUGUGGUGGAACAGAGAAAGCAAAUAUUAGCAGAAAGGACGUGAUAAUUGUUUUUGUGCACCAAGUUUUAAAAGCACAUACAUAGUGACACUAUUUUGGGGGGAUUUGUAUCUGAUAAAGUAAAACUAUAUUUCAUAGGUUCAAUUUUCAGCCUAUGUUAUAGCUUGAGAAAAUCAUGCUGAGUUAUGCUGAAGACUCAAUUGGUCUUAUUACAACUGUUGAAUGUAAUCCUUACAAGUAGAAGAGCUAUGAGCUUUUCAUGAAUGAACCUUCCAGAAUGAACCCAGCCCUUUCUUCCAACAGUCAGUACAGACAGCAACCUGAUAGACAUGAUGCAAGCUUUGGAUCAAGCUAGUCAAUGUUUUAUUUUAGUUUGUCUGAACAUCAUUCUUCAAUGACUAUAUUCUCACUAUGUUCUCCCAGUAUAAGGUCCUAUCACAACAGGCAGCAAAAGGGAAGUUCUGCAACCUUGGUGCCUACAGAGCUCUUGCAAAAAGAGCUCCACCAGCAUGGGACUACAACCACAAGAACUGAAAGCCUGUAGGCAAGGACCAGCAAGUCAUACAUAGCUAUCAUACAGGUGGGUCUCCUGCCUUUAGAUCUGCAAUGGCCAUUGCAGAUGCUAAUGCUAGCACUUUAAACUUUCCUAUCCAUAGGUCUGCAAACUGGUAUCAUUUCAGAGUCACUGCUGAGAUUUCUCAUUUAAACAAUGAUCCUACUGGAUUUAUUUGUGACUUCUGUCUAUUUAACAUUUUUAUUCUUGUCAUGUUUUGAGGAUGAGUAUACAUUCCAGAACUCAUACAUGAAGGCAAAAGACUUGUUUUAGGAACAUUGUUACUGCUACAAAUGAAGCAUUACAUAUGAUAACUUUAAAAGAACAGAAGGCUCCCAAUCAGACACCUACUGAAGAGAUACCAUGCCUGUACAAUUGGACUGCUCAAACUACUUCAUCAAUAUCUGAGACUUCCCAGUGGAAACAUUUUGUAUCCCUGAUGAAUCAACUGGUGACUUCAGAGAAGAAUCCAAAGUGUGAUACAUGUUCUCAUUCAUGAUUACCCUGAAGAAGGAUGAUAUCAUGCUGAGAUGAUAUCAUGCUGAGAUGACAGAUAUUUAUGAAGAUUUGAUAAAAUAAUUUCUGUGUCAUCACUGUCUUGAUUCUAUACAAUUAAGGGCUUAUUCAUGUGAUGCUCAGGGUGGAUAAUGAUAGGUUAAUGUUACAUGACUUUCUAUUUGAAAGACUUUUUUGAUGCUUAUUAUACUUUCCUCAGAUUUACAGCUUAUAACUGAAGAUUCCCAUCUAAAUUUGGUGUGUUUUUGUUUGUUUUGUUUUUUUUUUUUUUCUCUCCAGACAUAUUGCUGGUGUCCUUCAUCAUUGUUUUUGUACGCUGUUUAUGCUUAGCAACUUAAAUACAGACAUGAAAAUGAAAAUUAUGUAGUGCAAUGCUAAAUAAAAAUAAUUAAGUAGA
Anas platyrhynchos (mallard) is the source of this 3445-nucleotide long non-coding RNA. RefSeq lists it as uncharacterized. NCBI's taxonomy places the organism in Eukaryota, Metazoa, Chordata, Aves, Anseriformes, Anatidae. The record is from RefSeq and is a predicted model, not a curated record.